UUUAUCCUAGCUAAUUAGCUAAUAUAUAUAUUUUUUUUAACUAUACUACCGACAAAUCAAAAACUUUACCUUUCUCUUAUCUCAAAUCUCAAAUCUCAAAUUCACUUUCCCAAAUCCAGAAACCCUAAUCCCACUUAAUUCAUCUUCAUUCUCGUUUUGAAGACAAUGAAGAACUGGUUUCUUUCUCUGUCUUGAAGCCCAAAACCCAUUUAUCUUCUUCUUCUUCUGGUUCUUGCUUUGAGAUGGUUACAAGUAGAUUAUGUGGACAUGAGAUUUGAAGACAAGAAAAUGUAUAGCAAUCAUCUUCUGCUCAAAGUUGACAUUUUUUUCUGUGAUCUCUGAGAAUCAAGCAUGGUGGAGCAGCAGAAGAAGAAGAGGUUUGCUCUGUUUCUCACCAAGUGCGACUCUGAGUUCGUGAAGAAGGUUAAUGGUGGCUACUUCAAUAUCUUCAUCUCCACUUGCGGCGAAGACGGUGAGCAAUGGGAUCUCUUCCGAGUGGUAGACGGCUUUUCCUGAUGAGAGUUCAAAAAACAAAUUCAAGAGAGGAUCGAUAUGUGAUGAUAAGACCAGAGCUCGUAGUGAAAUCGAUAGUGGAUGAGUUCGAUUGUGGAUGAGUUCGAUCGUGGAUGAGUUCAAUCAUGGAUGAGUUCGGGAUUUGCCGUGGCUGAGCUUGGGAUCCGUCGUUGCUGAGCUCAGGGUAGCUGCGGUGGAGUUUCAGAGAGUGGAUGAACUUGGUAUUCAGCUACAGUUUCACUGCCUCGAGAACCCUUAAAACUCACCGGACAUUUCAAAUCCACCGUGAGAUAACCUCUUUCCAGAUUUUGUUGGAACUAGUCAACUAUAUCUGAUCGUCGGACAAAUUAAUGCCUUUGGCAUGGUAGAUUUAUCAAAUGAAGGUAGCAGACACGAGAGCCAUGAGUUUUUUCAGUGAUCAGCUUGGUGAUAUGGAUCAAAGUCAGACUGUUGAAUGCGAGUCUAGUGUGAAUGAGGAGGCCACCCAACAUGUUUCUGAUGUUGAAAACAGUUCGACUCUUGGUAGUGUGGUAGAUGUGGCUCCCACUAUCAUGCCACUGAAGCAACUAGAAGCGAGAUAAAUAUUUGUCCAGAUUGCAGGGAGGAACACAAUUUUGUGGAAACAAUCCCCCUGGAACAACAAGAGCUCUUGAUGAAAACUCCCUGAAACAGCCUCAAGAGAUCUUUGAUGAAAAAGAGUCUUUUGUUGAGACAAUUCCUGUCAUAGAUUUGUACCUCCAUCAUUUGUUUGGUUUUAAGGGUAUGCGGCUGCAAGAUAUGACUGCUAGGGAACUCCAAACUAUUGCCAAGGUAACAAUCUGAUUUUUAGUUCAUGUCAAUCUCACUUGUUAGAUGUUUCUUGUACUCUUUUUUGCUUUGUAUUUAAUGAAUAUUGAUGAUAUAACUCUUUCUUUAAUGGAAUACC
Brassica napus (rape) is the source of this 1438-nucleotide long non-coding RNA. RefSeq lists it as uncharacterized. The record is from RefSeq and is a predicted model, not a curated record. NCBI's taxonomy places the organism in Eukaryota, Viridiplantae, Streptophyta, Magnoliopsida, Brassicales, Brassicaceae. The transcript has 2 exons.